Molecule: ribosomal RNA, 301 nt
Filed under: uncultured bacterium
Lineage: Bacteria
Description: partial 16S ribosomal RNA
Rfam family: Bacterial small subunit ribosomal RNA
Source: RNAcentral
CAGUAGCCGCGGUAAUACGUAGGUGGCAAGCGUUGUCCGGAAUUAUUGGGCGUAAAGGGCUCGCAGGCGGUUUCUUAAGUCUGAUGUGAAAGCCCCCGGCUCAACCGGGGAGGGUCAUUGGAAACUGGGAAACUUGAGUGCAGAAGAGGAGAGUGGAAUUCCACGUGUAGCGGUGAAAUGCGUAGAGAUGUGGAGGAACACCAGUGGCGAAGGCGACUCUCUGGUCUGUAACUGACGCUGAGGAGCGAUAGCGUGGGGAGCGAACAGGAUUAGAUACCCCUGUAGUCCCUGUCUCUUAUAC